UACGGAGGGUGCAAGCGUUAUCCGGAUUUAUUGGGUUUAAAGGGUGCGUAGGCGGUUUAAUAAGUCAGUGGUGAAAUCUUGCAGCUUAACUGUAAAAUUGCCAUUGAUACUGCUAGACUUGAGUAUAGUUGAGGUGGGCGGAAUGUGUUGUGUAGCGGUGAAAUGCAUAGAUAUAACACAGAACACCAAUUGCGAAGGCAGCUCACUAAGCUAUAACUGACGCUGAGGCGCGAAAGCAUGGGUAGCAAACAGG
RNAcentral lists this ribosomal RNA (253 nucleotides) under uncultured bacterium. RNAcentral's name for it is "partial 16S ribosomal RNA". It matches the Rfam family "Bacterial small subunit ribosomal RNA", at positions 524 to 776 of the family's 1533-position model. The record is from RNAcentral.